ACAGAGGCAAACAGAGGUGACUUGGGGAGCUCCACCUCCUGUCAGGGUCCCAUGUCGGCGUGGACCAGUAGGUUCUACCAGACCUAAGUACACAGAGAGCUCUGUAACUCUCAGGGAAUCUCCUCCCUCGGUGUCUGAGGCUUUCCUCUUCUGGCUAUGAGCAUCCGCUACACUCCCUGCCAUGUAGGAUGUGUAACCUCACCACACAGGAUCGGCAAAGACAUAAAAGGGCCAGGUAUUUUCAGCACCUGUGGCCACACACCAACUCAGACAGAACCACCCACAUGCGAGGGCUACGCAGCCGGGUCGGAAAAUACAGCCAGUUGAAUGGACCGAGAGCGCAAGUGACCCUGAGGCCUCCCUCCGGAACUGUCUCCGAGCCCAGGGAGGUAUCAGGCAUUGGAACUGCACCAAGGGGAAUCCCGUCCCUCGCGCGCGUGGGGAGACCAACCGUAGUCAGUCAUCCGGGCCAAGCACAUUUCGCUGGCCCCGCUUACCCUGCACGGCUCCCUCGGCCCCUCGGGAGAGGUAGUGGAGUAGCCGGAGGCAGACGGCGACCACACACCGCGCGCCCAGAUCUCCAGCGCCUGUCGCGUCCACAGAGCCUUAACGCGUGGAAGCAAACCCCAGCAGACGCCGAGAGGCUGUCUCCGCCUACCUGCACUUUGCGUCACCGGGUGGGCGGGACGGCAUUGAUGCGCGUGCGCCCUGGCGUUUGCCAGCCACGCAGGCGUAAUAGCCAUGUGCUGGUCCGAAGUGGUUUGGUUGGGUGAUUUUCUUUCUGCCAGUAAGCGGCUCUUGGAGCUCCUGCUUAUCUUGGAUCCUUCUAACAAGUCCUGAGGUGUGGGAGGAACGUCUUGACUAGUGCAGGAGUUACUUCAAUCCCAUCCGACCUUGUCCUUCUGUAGGCUUUCCUCAUGGAUCCCUCCACACCCGAGUAGCUUCCUCUUUUACUUUCAAGGGAAUUCGUGAUAGGAUAUACAUUCACAAUAGAGAACGCGGUGCUAUCAAGCAUCCUUUAUCCUUGGCCAUAUUUUCUGAUGUCUUCCUAGAAGCCACAAGUUUGUCAGCCCCUAACUGCAGCGAGACUCCAAAUGUAUGUCCCUAAUUCAUCUGUGUGAAUGUCUCCCAAGUUGGUUGCCUUGACUCCGCUGAACCAGGACUCCUCUUCUUCCUGCCCACGUGAUGGCAUCUAAACAUUGUGGUGCAGGGCACUGGCUUUGUUCCUGGAGGACGUCCCUGACUGUCGUCUGGGAAAACCUAAAAGCAAGAAUUUCUAAUGACAAGACGGGGUACUCAGGGAGUGAGUGGGUGGAUGCUAACCACAGAGUGCGGGGGAUACUGGUGAAAGUAGGGUUGGCAAUCGCUAGUAGUCCCGCGAAACCAUUGUAAAUGGCCACGUGAGCAGCUCAUUGGACCUCGCCUUGUCUUACUAAUAAAAUCACCAAGAUCUGGUU
Molecule: long non-coding RNA, 1457 nt
Filed under: Mus pahari (shrew mouse)
Lineage: Eukaryota; Metazoa; Chordata; Mammalia; Rodentia; Muridae
Description: lncRNA (MGP_PahariEiJ_G0005569.1)
Source: RNAcentral